ACAAAAGGAUAAAGUAGAUAAAUUAUUAAAAGGAAUCGAAGAAAAUUUCGAAAAACAAGACUUUGACCCAGAAUUUGAAUUAACAAAUAAUGGAAAAUACGUCCUAUCAUUUAACACAUAUUAUAUAAUGAAAAACUAUAUAAUUACUAUCAAUUUUACACCUAAUAAACUAAAAACAGAUUAAGAAUAACACUCUCUUAUUAAUAAGAACAGGUGUUAUUCUUAAACCAGUCGGAAAGAGUAAUGCAAUUGGGUUCAAGUCCCAUCUCCGACCAUGAGGCGCUUACCCUAAAUAAUAGGUGGGUGCCUCAUAUCCACAUAAUCACUUUAGUAUUUCAGUACGUUUUAAUUUGAAUGAUGUAACACUUAAUUAUUAUUAUUAGAACUACAAAAGUAGCCAAUAUAUUCAACAGGGAAAGGAAACUUCCAUAACUCUUAAUAGAAAAUAAAAAUUAUAACUCAAGUAUAGGCGAUAGAAAGAGUUACCGCUUACCAUUUAAAUAAUAUAGUUAUUAUUUAAAAGUAAUCCAAAUUUUAGCUAAAAUGAAUCAUCAUAUCAAUAGUGAAAAGUACUGUGAAGGAAAAAUUAAACAAAACUGAAUUAAAGUCAGAUAAUAAUAUCUUACCUUUUGCAUCAUGAGUCAACAAAUUCAAAUUAGAAGCAAAAUAAUUAUUGCAAUUAAUUUAUUAUAAGUUUUUUAUUUGAUACCCGAAGACAUGUGAGCUAUAGUUUUCCUGUUUUAAACUCUUCUAACUUAGAAGAAAUUAAGAGAACGAACCAGUGACUUCUGCAAUAGUCUUGGAUGAGGAAACUAUAGAGGUGAAAUUCCAAUACGAACAUGUUGAUAGCUGGCUCCCAAAGAAAAUAAUAUUAGUUAUAGAAACUAUUUGACUUAAUUUUUCUUUAAACCUAACUACUGCGGAUGCGGGCCCUAACCGGUUACAAUUUCGUGGUAACGUAAUAAGGUUUAUUUUAUCAUUGUUUACUUGGAUAUCGGGCGACCAGGUCCCUUAUCAAAUUGGAAACAGCCAUUUAUACCAGUAUAAGUCUUCUAUAUUUCGCAACUUUUAAGGAAAAAAGUUCAAUGUUUUACAAUAGAUAGGCCCGCAGUCAGCCACUCUUUUGAGAAAGCGUUAUAGCUCGAUCUAAAUGAAUACUUUUUCUUAAAAUAUUUGAGAAUUUCGAAAUUACUCUUACUGUAUACUUCUAUUUGGGCAUUUAAUGUUUAUUAUACUAAUAUCUUAGUAACACUAAUUUGACCUAAUUGUUAAUUUAUUGCAAUUUGAGCAAAUUAUAUUACAUAUAAUUUAUUUACAUUAAAGUGAUGAUGUUGAUAUAAGUUUUUUUCAUUUAUUAUGAGUCGAAAUUUUAGAAGUUUAGACACGUUUCUAAAAGAAGAAUUCCCAAAUAGAAUUCUUCUUAUUUGCUCUUAGGUACCAGUAUUUUUUCUAAAGAAUUACUAUUUACAACGUUUCACCUAACUCUAGAAAAUUAUGACUUCAGGUUUAAUCACCCAUAAGGAACUCGGCAAAUUUUUAUUGGGAUAAAUUUUUUUUCCAGAUUUUAUAUAAUUAAUUUUUUACUAAUUUUUUAUUGAACAAAUAAUUAAUUGUAAAUACCUUUAUCUCAUUUUUAUAUGUAUUUAUUGUGCGACUGUUUACCUAAAACAUAGGUAGGAGAUAACGUUCAAAUUUACUAAUUCCUAUCGUAUCCUUCCAAAUGGUUCAUUUAUAAUUUGAUUUUUAAUUUUGAAAGUCAAAAUAAGGAUAACCCAAUGGAGGGCCUAACUCUGAGGCUCCUAAGGUAGCGAAAUUCCUCGGCUGUUAAUUGCAGUCCCGCAUGAAGGAGGCACGACACAUAAACUGUCUCAGGGGUGAGUCCAAGCUAAAUUGAACUUUAGGUGCAAAUUCCUGUUUUAACUAAAAGUCGAAAAGACCCUACGAAGCUUUACCGUUACCUGUCAUCUUAAUCUGUUUCAUGUUCUUAUAGAAUAGGAUGUGAAUCUCUUUCUCCUUGAAAUACAUCCAUCUUUACACUUAUGAUACUUUUGAUUGGUAGACAGUUUGCCUGGGGCUGGCUGCUAUUAUAAUUCAAAAUAGCUGAACUAUGGUUGUUCUAUUAAUGAUAUUACAGCCUGACUGCUUGAAUCUGUAUUCAUGCAGGAACGUAAGUUGGUCAUAUUGAUCCGGAUUCAUUGUUGGAUUCUGUUUCCGCUCAACCGCGAGAAGCUACUCUAGGGAUAACAGGCUACUCUCGGGGGAGAGACCUUAUUGAUCUCGAGGUUGGGUUCCUCGAUGUCGGCUGACCUCAUCCUAGGGGUGGAGAAGCUCCUAAGGGUAGGACUGUUCGUCCUUUAAAGAGGUACCUGGCUGGGUUCAUUACGUCGCAAGACAGUAAGGCUUCUUCCUUUAGUUUAUUCUUAUUUAAUCAAUUGAACUUUUGUACGAAAGGACCUGGUCAUCUAUUAGCAGUUUUAUACAUUUCAAGCUAUAAUUUCUAAUUGAUUCACCUGAAGAAAUUUUGAUUCAAUAUAAAUCUUUUUUGGAAUACGUUCUUCUUUUCUUUUUCUAUCUUUCUUUAUUUUUUUUAGACCCGGUCGAAUAAUUGGUCAAUUCACAUCUCUUUCACGGAUGAAAUCUAAGUUCAAUUCUUAGCUGGGUUAUAUUUAAUCUAUUUAGUCUAUUUAGUCUACAAUGAUGAAAUUUAAAUAU
RNAcentral lists this ribosomal RNA (2712 nucleotides) under Corallochytrium limacisporum. RNAcentral describes it as "bacterial LSU rRNA". The stretch from base 517 to 2446 matches the Rfam family "Bacterial large subunit ribosomal RNA". The record is from RNAcentral.